Long non-coding RNA from Lutra lutra (Eurasian river otter), 1634 nucleotides. RefSeq lists it as uncharacterized. The record is from RefSeq and is a predicted model, not a curated record. The transcript is spliced from 4 exons. Lineage: Eukaryota; Metazoa; Chordata; Mammalia; Carnivora; Mustelidae.
AGGCAAGAAUGGGAGCUAAAGCAUCUGCAGCUGGACCCCAACCAGAGCAGUUUGCAAAAAUAAAUAAGAAGCAUGUGACAAGAAGCAGAUUCCCCAGGCUGGAGCUGAAGCCCUGGAUUUCCCCACGCACCCUCCUCUUGCUUCCUUCAGCGAGCCAGGAUGAAGAAAUACCUGCUUCUAACGUGGCUGUCCUUGGCAUCCUAUCCCACCCCAAAACAUCUUUUGAGCAGAGGAAAUAGACGUGAACUAUAAAGUGAGAGACAGUUUCUUCUCUACUCUGCAAUCUAGUAGAAAAAAAACUUUUACUCAAUGGCAAAUCAGAUAUGAAGCUGGGGGAUGUAGGAGCCGUCUUGUAAUCAUGAGAUGACAAGUAUGAGGCUGAAAAUGUGAUUCCAAACAAACGGAGGAUCAUGGAGGAGACAGAUCAUGAGAGUUUGAAACAUUGUUGGAUAGUAAAUCCAAUCUUGGACUGCCUACCUCCAGGCUUAUUUUGGGGGAAAAUUGGGGGGGGGGGGUGAAGGUUCUAACCUUUGUUAUAGGAUAGCAAAGCUUUGAUUAACUUGUGCCUGCUGCUUCUUGGAAGGCUGACUGUGCGCCUCUGAAGCUGCAGUGUUAGGAAAAACUUAGAAUAUUGUCAUGUGUUGGUUACUUUUUGUGGCUUUUCAGAAGGAUCCUAGAGAAGGGGGUGAACUCAGAUUAGUGCUCCUCAGCAUGAGAGCAGAGAGGGCAACAAAAUACAGCUUAGGUUCAGAAGUAUUCUGGCUUUAGCUCACAGUCUAAAUUGACAAAGGGUUCCAUAUUUUGGAAUUUUGUAGGGAUUAAGGGCAGUACCUCCUCACCUAAGACUAUUUCUAGAAUUGUUUCAAAUCUUUUAUGAGAGUUCAGUAGCUAAGAGAUGAAGAUCUCCAAGCCUAAAAAUUAUUUCAAGAAAUAUUCUUUGGCUAUGUUUACUCCCAGGAAUUGAUCUGAAGAAAACAGCCCAGAGGCUUGAUAUGUUUUUGAGGGCAUUUGAGGGAAGCUGGCAACUACUUCUGAUGGUUUUUACCUUCUAAGCAAUUCUCAUACCUUCCUCCCUAAGUCAAACCAAUAUGAAGUAGAUUACAAAAACUGUGGGACCCCUGAGAAGGGCAACCACUUGAAAACCUAUCUUAGAUAUGGUUAUACAGGACAGUGACAAAGCAGAUACUUUAGAGAUUUAAACUAACAGCUGCCAGACUGACUAGUCAAGGAGUUUACUUAUUGCCUGUCAAGGAAUCUGUGAUUUCUCACCAAUAAAAUUUGAUACCGGUUGUGAACUACUGACCACUGUGUGCUUCCUAUUAUCCCCUUUCUUAAUGGAAUUUUUAUUGAUGACACUCUUUUCUUUUUCAUUAUUAUAAAUAUAUAUAGGAAGAGAAUGGUUCAGAGACAAGUUAUCUUUAGCCAUACAGAUGGUCAGAUAAAAGUUGCCAUGUUUGUACUACCUAGAACAGAUAGAAAAUCACCCAGAGAUCUUAUUUCAGGCAAUAAUUGGAUGAAAUAGUGGGGUUGAAGACAGUAUGGUAAUGACACAAAACCAAACACAUAGACCAAUGGAAAAGAAUAGAGAUCCCAGAUAUGGAUCCUCAACUCUAUGGUCAAAUAAUCUUCAACAA